CCUGCCCCAUUUCCCUCCCCGGAGCCCGGGAGCUCGCAGCUGUCUCCGCCGGACUUCCACCUAGAAGUGGCGACGGGGCUCGGCGGCAUCGGAGCGAGACAGGCAGCGAGCCGGAGAGAGAAACGGGGCGGGGGUGGGCGAGCACCGAGUGGUAAUUUCCUUCCCCCGGGGCUUCGGGGCUUUGGGGUCCAGCUGGGGAAGCCGAACGGAAAGGAGGCUCCCGCGCAGCGUGUUCCCAUUCCCACCGCUAGGGCGUCGCUUCGGGAAGCCCGGCGCGCCCCAGCCGUACAGGUGGGGAGGAAGGGAGGGUACCUGCCCUGCGAGGAGCGGAGGGGAGGACCCGGGCGCCGCGGAAGUGCCGGGAGAAACCGGCGGAACGGGGCCUGCAGCUUGCCCUCCCUGCAGUCUGACCUUCCCCGUCCAGGGUGCUUCCCCCUCCCCCAACCUGACCUCUAAGGUUGCUAUUCUGUUAAAAGCAUGCCUGUGACACUGUGAUCUUUCUAAUUGGUGGCAGGUUUAAGGUUGCCCUGUCUUCAGACGUAUAUGUCUUUCUUUCUUUCUUUCUUUUUUUAAAGCCUGUAACAGCUGUGACCGGACAAUAUUAUGUCUGAUGACAAUCUGUAAACUAGGAAUCGAAUGAUAGGUUUUAUACACCUCUUGAAAGUUUCACGGGAAGAAAGGAAUCCCUUAGACACAACCGUGUACUUGUUUAUACGUUUUAGUUCCCACGUGCAUGCUCUUUACGUGAUUCUUUACAUCUGACAAACUGGUAUAUUUGCAUACCUUUAUGUUAUUAUAUGUGCCAACUGUUGUAAGGUGCAAGCCAUUUUUGAUGGGUCUAAAAGCUUGCGUUCCGAAAAAAUAACGUGAAAUUAAUUAAGAAAUUAACUUUACGGUUUAAAAAUUAAAAUAUUUCAAUAAACUGUAGUAGAGAGGUUAAGUGAAAGAGCGUCCUAAAAGAGGCUCUACUGUGGUAUUAGCAUCAUGUAACACAUCUGUGUUAGCCCCUUCAACCAGUUGAUAGAAUAAUAUUUGGUAGGUAGUAAAAAUUAAAUUGAUACUUAGGACCAAUACUUUACUAAAUGCUCUUUAAGGUAUAUAUCCAUUGUAGCAACCAAAAAGAUUGCUGAAACGAAGUAACAUACUAAAUACUUAGUAAUAUGCUGUUUGUCUCUUAUGGACAGACAUCAGUAUUUAUUCCUUCCUGUGCAUAAUAUAUGCCUUGCAGUGUAUCUCUACGUAUGAAAAGAAAAAAAAAAGUAGCUUAUUUGGAUUACAAUAUCAGAACCAUAUAUGAAAAAGUUCCUUUUUAAUAUUUUACUUAAUAUUAAUCAAAUCAGUUCGUUUAAAUCCAUCUGGAUUUUAGUUUAAACAAUUUCAUGAAUCAGUUAUGCCUCUGAAUGACUAGCUUUUACAAUUGCUCACACAGAGAAUAGUGUAAACAUUGAGUAAUAGUGAAACUACUUAAAGUCUGUAGCUUUCAAUCACCAGAUGAAGAUUAAACUUUAGUUUCAGCCUUAAUUUAUGGCAUGCUAGUAAUUUUAUUAACUCCAUUAGUCUAAUCUGGCCAUAAAACCCUAGCAUAAUAUUUCAUAACUGCUGAAGGCAUUUGGAGUGCUUACCCAUUUUUUCUGUCCUCUUUCUGGUUUUAGGUGUAGGGGAGGAUUAUACUCUCCACCCCACUGAAAUUAGGUAUCAUGAUGUAACUUGCUUUAGUAAGUAAAUGUGAGCAGACAUGAAAUGUUUCAUUUCCUGGUAGAAUCACUUAAGGGCCAGUGCUGGAUUUUCUAUGCUCUCUUCCCUUGCUGCUGCAAUCAUGGAAGUUUAUAUUAAGACGGAGGUGGCACAGGACUGAAGGAUUCUGGCAUGCAGUACAAUAGUACAAUCCUGAGCACAGCCGUCCUGGAGAGCCCAGAACCUACAACAGAAUCUGCAUAAAGCAAGAAAUAAACUUGUGUUGGGUGAUUCUCCAGUCUGCUUUCUCCUUGGGUUUCCAUUGUGACCGUUAACUGCUGAAACCGAGCCCAGAACCGAGGAUCACAGGAUCUGAACGUUGCAAGUGAUACCAAAGAGGUGAGGAAAGUGAGGAUCAGAAAGGUUAAAUCACUUGUUUAUGAGAAUAAGGACAACGCUGAGAUUCAUCCUUCUAACUCUGGACUAAGAUCUCAAGCCCUGUCACACUUGUGGCUGAGGAAACCCAGUCUCCCUCACCGAGAUACAACUUCUUGUGGCUCACCCUCAUAGUCAAGAGUUCUCGACGUUAGAAUGAGGAAUACUCUCCCUUCUCUGGAUACCAGACCCUUGCUAAAUUUAAAUUAAAUUGUAUGACUCAGUUAUCGCUUAGUUCUAAAUAGAGCAUACUCCUUUCAUUAAGUUUUUUUUUUUUAUUAAGUUUUUAAUGUUAACAAAGUAAUUACAUGUUCAUCUUCAUUAAAGUAAAAUGUAUUUUAGGCUGCUCUUCAGUCUAAUUAAAGCGCAUGUCUAUGACAGUGAAUAUUUUGUUUAAUCAACUACUUAAUCUAGAAGCAACAGAAGGAGUAUUGUCGGUGACUUCCAUCCAUUAAUCUAUUAGGUUGUCCUCUUUAUGCAUUCAAAUAUAAAUACUAUGCUCAGGCUUUAAACAUUUAUUGCCAAGAUAUUCCUACUUAUUUCUACUCUCCACCCCCCCCCCAUUUGUUUAUGACAGAUAUAAACUGAAAGCACAUUUCCAUGCUAAAAACUUUCUGACAUUCAUUAGGGCUCUUUACAUACAAACUAGAAAUCAACAGGAUGUCUUAAGUCUUCCUAAUUUGUAACAUUGUUUCUACUACAGUUACAAAAUAUUUUGCUAUUAUGAGCUAAUGAAAAUA
Long non-coding RNA from Balaenoptera ricei (Rice's whale), 2849 nucleotides. RefSeq lists it as uncharacterized. The record is from RefSeq and is a predicted model, not a curated record. The transcript has 3 exons. NCBI's taxonomy places the organism in Eukaryota, Metazoa, Chordata, Mammalia, Artiodactyla, Balaenopteridae.